AUACGUAGGGGGCGAGCGUUGUCCGGAAUUAUUGGGCGUAAAGGGUUCGCAGGCGGUCUGAUAAGUCAGAUGUGAAAGGCAAUGGCUCAACCAUUGUAAGCAUUUGAAACUGUCAGAUUUGAGUUAAGGAGAGGAAAGUGGAAUUCCUAGUGUAGCGGUGAAAUGCGUAGAUAUUAGGAGGAAUACCAGUGGCAAAGGCGACUUUCUGGACUUAUACUGACGCUGAGGAACGAAAGCGUGGGGAGCAAACAGGAUUAGAUGCCCUGGUAGUCCACGCCGUAAACGAUGAGUGCUAGGUGUUGGGGGUCAAACCUCGGUGCCGCAGCUAACGCAUUAAGCACUCCGCCUGGGGAGUACGUACGCAAGUAUGAAACUCAAAUGAAUUGACGGGG
This 392-nucleotide ribosomal RNA is filed under the name uncultured bacterium. Its description in RNAcentral is "partial 16S ribosomal RNA". It matches the Rfam family "Bacterial small subunit ribosomal RNA", at positions 523 to 918 of the family's 1533-position model. The record is from RNAcentral.